This 77-nucleotide transfer RNA is filed under the name Acinetobacter nosocomialis. RNAcentral describes it as "tRNA-Met". It matches the Rfam family "tRNA". From Rfam's summary of the family: Transfer RNA (tRNA) molecules are approximately 80 nucleotides in length. Their secondary structure includes four short double-helical elements and three loops (D, anti-codon, and T loops). The record is from RNAcentral. Lineage: Bacteria; Pseudomonadati; Pseudomonadota; Gammaproteobacteria; Moraxellales; Moraxellaceae.
UGCGGGGUGGAGCAGUCUGGUAGCUAGUCGGGCUCAUAACCCGAAGGUCGUUGGUUCAAAUCCGACUCCCGCAUCCA